This 5251-nucleotide long non-coding RNA is filed under the name Sus scrofa (pig). Its description in RNAcentral is "lncRNA (ENSSSCG00065005461.1)". The record is from RNAcentral. Lineage: Eukaryota; Metazoa; Chordata; Mammalia; Artiodactyla; Suidae.
AUGGAAGCUCGGUUUGUUUAUUUACAAGUACUCAUCUUCGAUCUUGUAAGGAAGCUGAGAUAUGGAGGCUUUGAGGACCAGGGAAGAGAGCCAGAGGAGUCAGAGAGAGCAAAUGGGGCAAAGACAAUUAUGCCUGAGACUCUUCCCAGACACGCAGGGCGGCUCCUUCCCUACCCAGGAAAUCAAAAUUUGGAACUUAGAAAUACAGAAGUCACGGAAAAAGAAGUUGUUGAUUUUGAGAGUGCUGCUGAUGUAAAGAUAUUUAAAGUUGGAAUAAACGGUGAACUGAAUGUCCUCUUUGGAUGCUAUGAUUAGUUGGUCAUUGGACUGGUAUGAUGAAUAUCCAGGAAAAUGGCAUUUAAAAGUUAAGUCCAAAUGAGGAAAAUCUUUUUUAAAGUGUUCAGCUCACUUAAUAUUUGGAAAUAAUAAGAGGUGAGAGAAAUAAAAUAAUGCUAAAAUAUUGCUUAUGAGAAACUUCUCCUGAUGAAAUCUUCCUAUUUUAAUAAAAAGCUCCAGUUUGAAAAGUGAUCUAUUAACUGUUUAAACUUAAUUUCUUGAUUACUAUAUUUUGUAACCUUGAAAUAGGGAAGUUCUCUUAAUCUAUUUAAAUGUAUCUUGACUUGCUUGAGUAAGAAGUAACUAAACAAGAAUGAUUUCCUUAAACCUUAAUGAUUUUUUAAAUAACUCAUUGAAUUUUCUCCUAAAUGUACAGAUACAUGUGUAAAUGAAAGCUGGGGAUGCUGUACAAAAUAUGAUUGCUUCAGUAUACAUCUUUAUGUCUUUGUGUUGCUCUGUUAUCAAUUCUAACUGUCCUUUUAAUGUAAAUACAUAUUUAACUGUGUCAUAAUAAUUAUUUUUAUUAGUUUCUGUAAGACUUUCCAGAAUGUGUUCCAUACAACAUCAGAACAGCAACACUUACCAUUGUAUUCAAAUAAUACUUGGAAACACUAUCUGUGUUUCUCUGAGAUUUGUGCUGCAUAUGAGCAUGUUAACAAAGGCUGUGUUACUAAAGUCUCUUGCAAAAAAAAAAAACAAAAAAAAUACAAAAUUAAUUAAACUUCUCAACCCUCUCUGGGCCACUGCUUUCCCAAACUUUUAGUCCAUAUAAAUCUCCUGAGUCUUUCCCUGCCUCAGCUACAUCAGCAUUCUUUGUCUCACAUUUAGUAAAAUGCAGCUCCAGGGCCAUGGCCCUAAUAAUAGAGGUUGAGGGAGUCAGAAAUCAUCUUGAUGUGCUGUUUCUCACAAUUUACUUUCUACUCCUUCAAAAAUAUCUAUUUGAAUAUAUAAAUAUAUAUAAAUAGUAUGCAUGAAAAUGAUUUCUGAUAAGAAAGGGUUUCAGGUAAUUAAAAACCUGGGAUAAUUAAAUUAUGUUCUAUAUUUAAUUAAUACUUUUCAGUAAUUAAAUGAACUUUUCUUCUAACUGAAGGCAUGUCUUUAGCUGAUUAUUUGAAAGUGCUUUCCAAAGCAAUAAGUAUAUCUGUUGAAGCAGGAUUUUGAGAAGUGGGUGAAGUUGGACUCUACCUGCCUGACAUCUGUAUCUCAUUCUACUGAUGAAGAAUAAGCAGGGACAACAGAUUUACAAAUUAAUUAUAUUAUAAACUAAUCAUUGAGGAAAACAAAAGUCUAGAGCCCUCUGCAAACUUAGGAGACAUGUCAGACAUCUUAGGAGACAAACUCACAGAAUGGGAGAAACUAUUUGCAAAUGAAUCAACUGACAAGGGAUUAAUCUGCAAAAUUUAUAAACACCUCCUCCAGCUCAAUACCCAAAAAUCAAACAACCUCAUCAAAAAAUGAGCAGAAGAUAUAAAUGGACAAUUCACCAAAAAAAGACAUACAUAUAGUCAAAAAACACAUGAAAAGAUGUUAAACAUCACUGAUUAUUAGAGAAAUGCAAAUCAAAACCACUAUGAGGUACCACCUUACAUGGGCCAGAAUGGCCAUCAUCAAAAUGUUUAUAAGCAAUAAAUGCUGGAGAGGGUGUGGAGAAAAGGGAACCCUAUUACACUGUUGGUGGGAAUGUAAGUUGGUGCGACCACUGUGGAAAACAGUAUGGAGAUUCCUCAGAAAACUAAAAAUAGAAUUACCAUUUGAUCCAACUAUCCCAUUCCUGUGCAUCUAUCCAAAAAAAACCUUGGCUUGAAAAAAUACAUGUACUCCAAUGUUCAUUGUAGCACUCUAUACAAUAGCCAAGACAUGGAAACAACCUAAAUUUCUAUCGACAGAGGAGUGGCUAAAGAAGAUGUGGUACAUAUACACAAUGGAAUAUUACUCAGCCAUUAAAAGGAAAGAAAUAACAAGCAUUUGCGGCAACAUGGGUAGACCUAGAAAUUAUCAUGCUAAGUGAAGUUAGAUAGUGAGACACCAACAUUAAAUGCUAUCACUUACAUGUGGAAUCUAAAAAAAAGGACACAAAGAACUUCUUUGCAGAACAGAUACUGACUCACAGACUGUGAAAAACCUAAGGUUUCUAAAUGAAACAGGGUGGGAGAUAGGGGGAUAUGCUGGGGGUUUGGGAUGGAAAUGCUGUAAAAUUGGGUUAUGAUGACUGUUGUACAGCUAUAAUUGUACUAAAAUUGAGUAAUAAAAAAAAAUGAGACACAUCAGUGUUUGGCCUAGUCUACAACUGUAGUUAGAUUGGAAUGCUUGAUUAGUAGAUAAUACCAAUCUUUUUUUUUUUUUUUUUUUUGAUCUUUUUGGCGCCACACCCUUGGCAUAUGGAAGUUCCCAGGCUAGGGGUCUAAUCGGAGCUACAGCUGCCUGCCUAUGCCACAGCCACAGCAACACAGGAUCUGAGCCAUUUCUGUGACCUACACCACAGCUCAUGGCAAUGCCAUAUCCAUAACCCACUGAGGGAGGCCAGGGAUUGAACCCACAUCCUCAUAGAUACUUGGGUUCGUUAACCACUAAGCCACAACAGGAACUCCCUCAAACAUUUUUUUUUAACACUCUUUUUCUUCUUUUGAUUUUGUUGUGUCUUCCCAGCCUGGGUCCUAUAGGUUUCCAUUCAAACAACCUACAGGCAUGAUACAGCAGAUCAACACACAGAUGCCACUUUUGCUUUAUGUAUGCAACCAGAACAGUGAGUACAGUCUCUGCUUCCUGACAGUCUGCCUCUUGAGCCCUGGAACUGGAGAAAUUACAACAUGCCUCCCCAGUAUUGAAGCAGCAGAUGCACAGUCAAGAGGAGCCAAAUGCUAUGCCUUACCCUGGAGCCAGUAGGACAUGAUCAGGCUGGUUGAAAAUGGCAACAAAAUAUUAACCUUUUCUCAGGAAAGCUGAGAUGCAUAAGAGAAAGAACAAGCGCUAGAGGAGAUGAAAAAGAAGGGAAAAAUGGAAAGAGCAAAGGAGACCAGAGGUAGGGACAGCACAGGUAAAAGGCAAGCAGCAAGUCCUCUGAUAGCUCAGGAAAGAACAAACGGUAAAUACACCUAGACCAACUCUGUCAUGCGAAAGUGAGACAAAGAGCCUCCUGGUCCUCAAAACUUUAGCAAUGGAAGCAUUUACUCAUUUACUCAUUCAUUCAUUCAUUAAAAAAAAAUGGUGACUUCUCUCUGAGGGAAGAGCCUAAAUUUGAUUCACUUCCAAACUCCCACUUCUUCUACUGCAGUGGACCAAGGCUAUAGAUUCCCUGAUCAGCUGCCACGAAGGAAGGGUCACUACAUUUUUCUGACCAUAUAUACUCAGGAGUAGGAAAUCUGGCAAUGAUAACAUAAAUGAAUAAUAUUAUUUUUAUGAGAAGGGAAUGACAGCAAGGAUGAAUGGUAUCUGAGGACCAAGCCCCUGUCUCCAACCUCCCACAUCCAUGUGUAACAUAAAGCCCUCUCCCCACCUGUAGAUAAUAAAUAAACCCUGAACAGGAAACAAAGAAUCCCAGAAUUCAUAAAGAAAACUCUGCAUUGACUCCUGAAUUUCUAAAAGUAAGUCUCUUAUCAUUGGGUAUCUUUAGGACUCAAGAUAGAAAAAAAAAAUACAAUUUUCACAUAUCUUGUUUGAGGCUUAAAAAAGGCUAGGGCCUUAUGUUUGUUUUGAAAGAGGCACUGAAAAAUAUCCAUUCCCAGAAUUUUCUAGUUAAAAUUUUGACAAGAUAUAGUACCUCUAUUUAAUACCAAAAUGGCAUUAUGUUUCCAUAAAUAUAAUUUAGUUCUUUCCUACUUUUGAAAAAAUAACUUAUUUUAGACACAAAGUCUCAUAUUAAAGCCUGACAAUAAAAUUAGAUUUUUCAAAAAACUGUAUUACAAUCCCAUAGUUUUUAAUUUAGUUUUACAAUGUUCAGAUAGUAAUGUGAAUAGAAAUGGUGACUCAAUUACUUUUCAAGUGAAAUACCUUGAUGAAUAUAUUCAUUUUCUUCUGACAGGGAAUUAUUAUUGCCUUAAAUUCAAUCUUAGCCCUGCACAUGCUGUGGGGAUUUUCAUGGCUAAACUGUUUUAAAUUAUCUUAUGAGUCAUUCACCUUGAAAAAUGAAUGCACUUUACCCAUAAUAAGGCAGAAUAAUAUGUUGUAGGCUGUAGAUGACUUCAAAUUUGAUUUUCUAGAGAUAUUUUAUUAAAACAUUUCCCUUAGGUGGCUAAGAAUCAUGCCUCUUGAUUUACUUCAGGGUCAGGAUUGGGACACUGGACUGAGCUAUGUGUAUUUGUUCAUUCAUUCAGCAAAUAGAGAGUUUAGCAGAUAAAGGAUCAAGGCCAGAAGCUCUGUUAAAACCAAGAUGAGCAAAUCAGUCUUUAGGACUAGAAGUCUACUGAGGAAGGAAGGUCCAAGCAGUGUUCUUAGAGGUUAGGAUUAGGGCCACUAAUUUCAUGAUUGAUGUUAUUUGCUCUCUGCCCUGGUUUGAAACCACAUAUGGACAGAAGGCAGGGGAUAACAGAAGCUGAGACUCUAGUAGAAAUAGACCAGAAGUCUGCAGGUAAAUCUGAUUAGAUGAGGCCAACAAAGAAAGGCUAAACUUGCCUUAGCCUCAUACUUAUUAAGAAUGUGUACAUUAUAGGGUUCAAAAUAUUAUUCCAAAAAAUCAGUAUCAUUGCCUUGCAUACUUAUAUCUAGUUAGAAGUAUGUAAAGAUGGAAAAAAUGGCAAGAACUAGAAGCUAUAAAAGCACCUUUUAGGUAAAAUGGGAAGUUAUGACCUGCUUAAUUUGCUCAAUGGACCCGUUUUACCCUAUCAAUGAUUUGGAUAAUAUGAGUUGUAUUUAUUCAUAUUGUAAACUAGGGAACAAACUUACAAGGGCAAAUUUACUUUUCUAUAUGGGCCAGUGGCAG